Molecule: non-coding RNA, 2419 nt
Organism: Lactuca sativa (garden lettuce)
Lineage: Eukaryota; Viridiplantae; Streptophyta; Magnoliopsida; Asterales; Asteraceae
Source: RefSeq, a predicted model, not a curated record
UAUACCGCUCAUUGAAUACGCCUUCUUUCCUCCAGCGCCUCAUCUAACUGGAUUUAUCCUUAUCCUAUGGAAGCUCCUUUCAUACCGAAAAACCGAUUUUCGACCUCAAAGCGAAGCUCAAGAUUAGGACUUAGUUUUUUCUUCCUAGGUAAAGUGAAGCUUUCAUCGGUGACCAUCCUGGUACCAUAUUCUACUAUACGAUUAUGCUAAAUCAGGUUUUCUAACCACCUGAUGGUAAAUGGGUUCCAGCAAUCCAAAAACAACUUCAAGCCCUUAAAUAUUUCUUUUGGUUAUCUAUCUAUCGGAUUAGGUUUUUUGGUUGUUUUGCUUUUCUCAAUCUGAAACUCCUUAUUCUGCUUUUCGUUAUUGGUACCAAGGUCUCAUUGGAGAAUCAUGAACCAUAGGUGAGUAAGAAACCCACUCGAAGUUUCCGGUUAGUUCUUCAUCUUUCCUACAAAACUUUAUCAAACCCUAGGAGCGCUCAUAUCAUAUAAGAGCGAAGAAGAAGCCUCGUCAACAUCAACAAUCACACAAACCGACUAAUCAACUAAUUCAUAACUUCUGUAAAAUGUCCUUGCCUCUUAAAAUCAAGUAAUCAAGCAGUUGUCACCGAUCAUCGCAGGGUGUUGCAAGUUUGUAGUUGUAUUACUUUUUUUCUUCAAUUCUAUAUUAAGAUUAACGGGUUUGAAUCUGUUUUCUGUUUAAUAUUUGGAAUACCCCAAAGACUAUUGACCACCUAUCACACACCGAUUGACGUGUUGUGUUUACUUUGAUGUUAAUGGGAAGGUAUUGAAGACUUCCUUGGUUUGCUAUCGCUAUCUGAUACAUAUCAGUUCGGUGAUUAAAUAAUCGCAGAAAGAAUUUAAGAGGAGCAAUCGAAUUUAAUUUCUUUAUGGAUUUGCAAAAUUUGGGGAAGAAAGCAUCAAAACGAUCUACGGUAACAAUCUAUCUGUGGAUUUAUGAAGGUGACCGGUUUACCUUUAUCUACUUUAUUUUCUUCAUCUUUAUACAUGGAAAACCAAAACCCUGAAAUAUAAUCUUAAAAAUAAAUCAAAAAUAUUUCAAAAAAAAACUAUGGAUGGCUUAACAUUGGUUUACAGGAGUUUACUAGAAAAAUGUGAAUAAAAUUAAGAAGACAAGGGUAAAAUGGUCAUGUUGUUGACAUAUUGAACUUAACUAGAAUCAUUGUUGGAGGGUUUACUGCCAAGAUCAUGUUUUCAUCCCUGAUUUGGUAGGACAUCUAAGGCCCAGUCACACGUGAACCGGAUAUGGCAAUGUUAAACCAGGCUGCAUGAUCCUUUUUAUUUGCGUCAAGCAUCAGGUUCGCUCCUUACUUUUCUUUUUUCUUCUGAUUCGAUCACUGGUAAGUUUCAUUGCAGCCGAACCGGUAUGCCCCAGGUUCCUCUUCACCCUUCCUCUUAUUAUUAUUAUUAUUGGCAGAAUUGGUGAUUGGUGUUGAGUUGUUUGUGAUAUUUAGGGGGUGUUUGGAUAAAUAAUUUUUAGCUUAUUAGCUUAUUGCUUAUUUGUUUAUUGUGGUGAGAAUAAACAUUUUUUUAAAAUGUGUUUGGAUUAGUUUAUUGCGGUGGAAAUAACCAAUAAGCAAUAAGCAUUUAAGUGUUUGGCAAAAUAAAACAGCUUAUAUGAGUAAAAUGACCAAUAAGCAAUAAGCAAUAAGCAAUAAGCAUUCCCCACCUUGCUUAUUAAAAUCAGCUUAUUUUGCUUAUUCCUACCGCAAGAAGCUGAUUGUUAAAGACUCCUAUCCAAACACUUAAAUUUGCUUAUUGCGGUGGGAUUAAACAAUAAGCAAUAAGCAGCCUAUUUUUUCCCUAUCCAAACACCCCCUUAAAGUUGCAUGAACAGGUGAGCAGGAUGUUGGUCUCAGAAUGAUUACAAAGGUCGUGAAGGUUUGGUUGUGAUGGAGGCAUAAUUUUUUUUUGUCUGUAAUCUGUUCGGUAUCUACCAAACAAUGCUAAUGAAAAUCCACAAUCUUUUUCUCUUUUCAAAUUUUAAUUUGUUAGUUGUAUUUGAUUGCAGGUUGGCAUGGAGACUAGCAAUUUCGGGUACGUAAAAUAAUUUAAAAUUGAAACCGAAUUUGUUUUUUCUAAAGUAAAUUACAGAUUUGGUAUUGUGAUAUCUCAUUUUUUAUGAUUUAGGUCCAAUGGGAUAUUGCAAGGUUUCAUAUUGAUUGUGGUGCAUGGAUUAUUAAAUCUAACUAUUCUUCUGUUAAUGUUUUUAGAAUGACCAUUUUGUCCAUUGGACCAAACCUGAAAAAGAUAGUAUGCAGCAUGGACCAAAUUUGUAUUUUACUCAUGCACUUUUUCUUAGUUAUAAUGUAUUUUAUCUUAAAUGAUCUUGUAUGUUUUAAAAUAACAAUUUACUAUCUUCUAUUAAUAAUAAAGUAUUGAUGAAAUUACAAAUU